This 505-nucleotide ribosomal RNA is filed under the name Belliella filtrata. RNAcentral's name for it is "partial 23S ribosomal RNA". It matches the Rfam family "Bacterial large subunit ribosomal RNA", at positions 1387 to 1894 of the family's 2925-position model. The record is from RNAcentral. Lineage: Bacteria; Pseudomonadati; Bacteroidota; Cytophagia; Cytophagales; Cyclobacteriaceae.
GGACCUAAGGCGAAGCCGAACGGCGUAGUCGAUGGCAAAUGGGUUAAUAUUCCCAUACUUGAUAUACAGGUGAUGGAGUGACGGAGUGAUGAAAGACACGCCCGGUGACGGAAUACCGGGUUAAAGCAUGUAGGUAUUGGAUUCAUAGUUAAAUGCGUGGAUCUAGCCGAAAGUGAUAGUACCGAGCGUCUACGGACAAUCGGAUAGUUGUCCUAAGGGCUUCCAAGAAAAACUUCUAGCGUUAAGCGUAUAUCGACCCGUACCGCAAACCGACACAGGUGGUCAAGGAGAGAAUCCUGAGGUGCUCGAGUGAAUCAUGGCUAAGGAACUCGGCAAAAUGGCCCUGUAACUUCGGGAGAAGGGGCGCCUACCCACGAUAGUGGGAGGCCGCAGUGAAAAGGCCCAGGCGACUGUUUAGCAAAAACACAUGGCUUUGCGAAGUGGCAACACGAAGUAUAAGGCCUGACACCUGCCCGGUGCCGGAAGGUUAAGAGGGGAUGUUAUC